Molecule: long non-coding RNA, 406 nt
Organism: Bos taurus (domestic cattle)
Lineage: Eukaryota; Metazoa; Chordata; Mammalia; Artiodactyla; Bovidae
Source: Ensembl
AUUCUCCACUUCAGCUUAUUGUUAAUUAUAAUUAAUAUAGUACAAUUUGUUUAACAUCUCUAUUCUGUGCUAACAGAUGGAUAGGAUUUGGGUCUGCAACUGGCACAAUAGUGUUAGUUUGUGUUAGUUGCUCAGUUGUAUCCAACCCUUUGAGACCCCAUAGACUGCAGCCCAACAGGCUUCUCUGUCCAUGGGAUUCUCCACGCAAGAAUACUGGAGUGACUUGCCAUGGCCUUCCCCAGGGAAUCUUCCUGAACCAGAACUGUAUUGAAGAGAGAUGUUAUUUAUUAGAGAGCCCCUGAGAAGCUUAACUAAUACCUUAAGAGGAGGCAAAAGACCUUCUGAUUUGUUUAAGGAUUCAAUUCCCCUUGCCAAAUCUACUCAAAUCUGAUGGGCAGUAUUUAGA